Oreochromis aureus is the source of this 1791-nucleotide long non-coding RNA. RefSeq lists it as uncharacterized. The record is from RefSeq and is a predicted model, not a curated record. The transcript is spliced from 3 exons. Lineage: Eukaryota; Metazoa; Chordata; Actinopteri; Cichliformes; Cichlidae.
GCAAGACGCUAACUUCGGUGUCCUCUCUAUUAAUCCACAGGUACUGACAAACAAACUUUUAUGUUACCAAACUGGUUCUAAAUGUCAUGUAAGUUGAGUAACAACUGUUCGGCUAUAUUUUGAGAUGAUUGUGAUGAUGUUGUUUUGUGGUAUUUUGUUGUAAUGAGUAUUAGUGUAUCAUCGGCAUAAUGCUAUAAUGCUACGUAGCACUAUAAGUAUAUGCCAUGACAGUGGCAACCUGCGACUUCAGAAAAUGUGUUGUACUGUUUUAGUGUUAGCCAAGCAGUACUGAGUACAUGUAUUAAGGGGAAAGGCUUUCGUUGGUGAAACAACGUUUGGAGUCGUCUGCCGCCAUGUUGUGUUGCGUUCAGGGGACGCCAUGUUCAAAAGUGAUAGCGUAUAUGGCGCGAAUGUGGGGACAGGUUGUGUGAAUGUGAGAUGGGUUAUUUCGGUAUGUUGUUAUGCUUUAACCAUGAGUGUUUUGUUUAAGUUGUGAGUAUGUAAAGUUAUUUUGAAUUAGUUUGUAUUUAUUUUGCUUUUGAGAGAAUGCUUUUUGUAACUUUAUUUUUGUUUAUCAACUAUGUUAUUUUAUGGGAAGAAUGCAUGGUCUAGUGUGAUUUGUAUUGUGUAUAUGUGGAGAAAUAAAUGAGCUCCGGCCUGAGCAAGACGCUAACUUCGGUGUCCUCUCUAUUAAUCCACAGUUUGCUCAUACUUGGCUACGCAGUGCUCUCUAGCCUGUGUGCCGCUUGCUGCCGGUCCAGAUUCCCCUAGAUCUGGUGCAGGGGUGACCAAAUGUAUCUCUGCUCGAAUGCUGGGAUGUUUGCGAACACAACUGCUGUGAACAAACUGACAAAAAUUGCUGAUCCUCACCCCUAUUUAUGGAAAAAGAAGGAUCAAAGCUUCUAAGAUGUCUUUGUGACAUCAUCAUUCUGCUACAUUCAAUGAUGAUGCAGCCUUGACAUGAGGUUUGGCAGGUUGCUGGAAACAGUGAACACCUCAGACACGCAGCCUGCCAUGGACAGCAGAGAGAUGAUCAGAAGAACGGGUUUACAAUCAGCGACAUGCUUUUUUUUUUUUUUUUUUUUUUUUUUUUUUUUUUAACCCGACCUGUUCAUAUUGCGGCAUCUUGAAUGAUGAACGCUUUAUGAGGAAAUGAUGUGGGGCAUGAGUACGAUGAACCUUCACUCAGACAACUCCCGUCGCAGUGUUUGGGUCACACUUAGUCACAUUAAAUCUGUUUUUCAGGAUUAAAGCUUUAACUUGAACUAAAUUUUGCACGUGUGCUGAUAUGUACAGUGUUAUGGAUGUUUCACAGCAAUUGUAAAAUUAUUUUAGAAAGUGAAAACAAAAAGAAUCUAUCCUCUUUUCAAGUUUAAGAAGAUAGGUUGCAGUAGACUUUUUAAAUGGUCAGAGAUUGAAAUGUAUUGACUUUUGUAUAGUAUUUUUUCUCUUAUUUUAUUUACUAAAUGUACCUGUAUAUUGUUUACAUGUUUGAAAUAAAUUAACAACAAUAAUAAUAAUAAUAAAUUUGUAUCACUGUAAAAAAAAAUGUAUCUGAAAUGGUAAAAAUAUAAAAUUAGGAGAUAAAGUAUCAUAUCUAAAAGCUAAAGUUGGGGGUUUUUGGUAUUCGUACUUAGAAUUUGUGUGUUCGCAUAGCUUUGCUCCCACAUACAUCCACCAUCAGUACAUCAGCGCUGUCACUUGGCAAUGUGGAGAGAUCACUGGAGGUAAUGUAGAGAGAAUAGGGUGGGGUUUACUCACUAAAAGAGGCGUCCUAGAGACGCCGAAGAA